RNAcentral lists this ribosomal RNA (292 nucleotides) under uncultured prokaryote. RNAcentral describes it as "partial 16S ribosomal RNA". It matches the Rfam family "Bacterial small subunit ribosomal RNA", at positions 505 to 796 of the family's 1533-position model. The record is from RNAcentral.
GUGUCAGCAGCCGCGGUAAUACGUAGGGCGCAAGCGUUGUCCGGAAUUAUUGGGCGUAAAGAGCUCGUAGGCGGUUUGUCACGUCUGCUGUGAAAUCCCGAGGCUCAACCUCGGGCCUGCAGUGGGUACGGGCAGACUAGAGUGUGGUAGGGGAGACUGGAAUUCCUGGUGUAGCGGUGGAAUGCGCAGAUAUCAGGAGGAACACCAAUGGCGAAGGCAGGUCUCUGGGCCACAACUGACGCUGAGGAGCGAAAGCAUGGGUAGCGAACAGGAUUAGAAACCCGAGUAGUCC